GUCACAAAAAAAAAACAAUCGUUU
Molecule: small nuclear RNA, 24 nt
Filed under: Arabidopsis thaliana (thale cress)
Lineage: Eukaryota; Viridiplantae; Streptophyta; Magnoliopsida; Brassicales; Brassicaceae
Description: snRNA_05496
Source: RNAcentral